This 244-nucleotide ribosomal RNA is filed under the name Pseudomonas azotoformans. RNAcentral's name for it is "partial 23S ribosomal RNA". It matches the Rfam family "Bacterial large subunit ribosomal RNA", at positions 1429 to 1672 of the family's 2925-position model. The record is from RNAcentral. Lineage: Bacteria; Pseudomonadati; Pseudomonadota; Gammaproteobacteria; Pseudomonadales; Pseudomonadaceae.
GUUAAUAUUCCUGUACUUCUGGUUAUUGCGAUGGAGGGACGGAGAAGGCUAGGCCAGCUUGGCGUUGGUUGUCCAAGUUUAAGGUGGUAGGCUGAAAUCUUAGGUAAAUCCGGGAUUUCAAGGCCGAGAGCUGAUGACGAGUUACCUUUUAGGUAACGAAGUGGUUGAUGCCAUGCUUCCAAGAAAAGCUUCUAAGCUUCAGGUAACCAGGAACCGUACCCCAAACCGACACAGGUGGUUGGGU